This 398-nucleotide long non-coding RNA is filed under the name Mytilus galloprovincialis (Mediterranean mussel). The record is from RNAcentral. Lineage: Eukaryota; Metazoa; Mollusca; Bivalvia; Mytilida; Mytilidae.
GGAAAAUGACAAUGAGAAUGAUGGUCGUAGUAUGAGCGUAGUCAGGUCGUAAGAAGAGCGUGAUGAGGACGACAAGGGCGUGCUAGAAUCGUACUAUGGUCGUGAACAGCGUGGUAUAGUCGUAGUGGAAGCGUAGUUGGAUCGCAGUGAGAACGUGAUGGUCGUAGUGAGGUCUUAAUAACAUCGCAAUGAGAUCGUAGCGCAGUUUCUCCGAAUAGAAUCACGCUUUCGCUACGCUCUCACUACGAUGGUACAGCGACCUUUGCGAUCUUACUACGAUCUUAGUGCGCUCUCACUACGCUUCUACUACGACCUGAUUUCACCACGACCGCACCACGAUUGUUUUGAACAUGUUCAAAGUUUGCCACGCUCGUCACGAUCACGACGACCUCACCACG